RNAcentral lists this ribosomal RNA (539 nucleotides) under uncultured bacterium. RNAcentral's name for it is "partial 16S ribosomal RNA". It matches the Rfam family "Bacterial small subunit ribosomal RNA", at positions 355 to 889 of the family's 1533-position model. The record is from RNAcentral.
UGGGGAAUUUUGGACAAUGGGCGCAAGCCUGAUCCAGCCAUGCCGCGUGCGGGAAGAAGGCCUUCGGGUUGUAAACCGCUUUGUCAGGGAAGAAAUCUUCUGAGUUAAUACCUCGGGAGGAUGACGGUACCUGAAGAAUAAGCACCGGCUAACUACGUGCCAGCAGCCGCGGUAAUACGUAGGGUGCAAGCGUUAAUCGGAAUUACUGGGCGUAAAGCGUGCGCAGGCGGUUUUGUAAGACAGAGGUGAAAUCCCCGGGCUCAACCUGGGAACUGCCUUUGUGACUGCAAGGCUUGAGUGCGGCAGAGGGGGAUGGAAUUCCGCGUGUAGCAGUGAAAUGCGUAGAUAUGCGGAGGAACACCGUGGCGAAGGCAAUCCCCUGGGCCUGCACUGACGCUCAUGCACGAAAGCGUGGGGAGCAAACAGGAUUAGAUACCCUGGUAGUCCACGCCCUAAACGAUGUCAACUGGUUGUUGGGAAGGUUCCUUCUCAGUAACGUAGCUAACGCGUGAAGUUGNCCGCCUGGGGAGUACGGCCGC